AGCGUAGGCGGACAUUUAAGUCAGGGGUGAAACCCCGGGGCUCAACCUCGGAAUUGCCUUUGAUACUGGGUGUCUUGAGUAUGAGAGAGGUGUGUGGAACUCCGAGUGUAGAGGUGAAGUUCGUAGAUAUUCGGAGGAACACCAGUGGCGAAGGCGGCUUACUGGUCCAUUACUGACGCUGAGGUGCGAAAGCGUGGGGAGCAAACA
RNAcentral lists this ribosomal RNA (207 nucleotides) under uncultured bacterium. RNAcentral describes it as "partial 16S ribosomal RNA". It matches the Rfam family "Bacterial small subunit ribosomal RNA", at positions 568 to 774 of the family's 1533-position model. The record is from RNAcentral.